UGGGGAAUAUUGGUCAAUGGAGGAAACUCUGAACCAGCAACGCCGCGUGAAUGAUGAAGGUCUUCGGAUUGUAAAGUUCUUUUCUAAGGGAAGAAGAUAGUGACGGUACCUUAGGAAUAAGCCUCGGCUAACUACGUGCCAGCAGCCGCGGUAAUACGUAGGAGGCAAGCGUUAUCCGGAAUGACUGGGCGUAAAGGGUGCGUAGGUGGUUUGGCAAGUUAGUAGCGUAACCCCGGGGCUCAACCUCGGAACUACUACUAAAACUGUCGGACUUGAGUGCAGGAGGGGCAAUUGGAAUUCCUA
Molecule: ribosomal RNA, 303 nt
Filed under: uncultured bacterium
Lineage: Bacteria
Description: bacterial SSU rRNA
Rfam family: Bacterial small subunit ribosomal RNA
Source: RNAcentral